CCGCGGGAGGGAUGACGGCCUUCGGGUUGUAAACCUCUUUCAGUAGGGAAGAAGCGAAAGUGACGGUACCUACAGAAGAAGCACCGGCUAACUACGUGCCAGCAGCCGCGGUAAUACGUAGGGUGCGAGCGUUAUCCGGAAUUAUUGGGCGUAAAGAGCUCGUAGGCGGUUUGUCGCGUCUGUCGUGAAAGUCCGGGGCUUAACCCCGGAUCUGCGGUGGGUACGGGCCGACUAAAGUGCAGUACGG
Molecule: ribosomal RNA, 247 nt
Filed under: Micrococcus flavus
Lineage: Bacteria; Bacillati; Actinomycetota; Actinomycetes; Micrococcales; Micrococcaceae
Description: partial 16S ribosomal RNA
Rfam family: Bacterial small subunit ribosomal RNA
Source: RNAcentral